CCAAAGCAGCACAGCGGACACACCACGUUGUAAACAUAAAAAAGCGAAAGUCCCCACGUGUCAGCUCACCGAGUUGAUAGAUCUACGAAACCUCUGUAAGCCCAAGUGUGAGACUCGCAUUUUCCUGCCCAAACGCAAACUCGGAAGCUGUGACUCAGCGCCGUCCCCCGAUUCUUCCUCGUCUCACCCAUCAAGCUCAAUGAUUCACCGGAUGCUGUAGGGUUAGCUAUAGUGGUUAAACUAUGCCAAAGAGGGGAAGCUUGUUCUGUAAGCAGAUAAUCCAUGGGCUUCUUGGAGCUUCCAAGUCUUUUUCUUGAUUAUAAUUUGAUAGGGAAGCCAAUGUGGCUAAUUCUUUGGCAUCAACAACAUGAAGAACAGUGGUGUUGUUUAAGUUGAAGAUGGAAGAAGUUUGCCUCAAUAGCGAGCCAGU
Non-coding RNA from Durio zibethinus, 430 nucleotides. The record is from RefSeq and is a predicted model, not a curated record. NCBI's taxonomy places the organism in Eukaryota, Viridiplantae, Streptophyta, Magnoliopsida, Malvales, Malvaceae.